ACACGACUACAUUAGAUACCCCGGGUAGUCCCAGCCGUAAACUAUGCUCGCUAGGUGUCAGGGACGGUGCGACCGUUUCUGGUGCCGCAGGGAAGCCGUGAAGCGAGCCACCUGGGAAGUACGGCCGCAAGGCUGAAACUUAAAGGAAUUGGCGGGGGAGCACAACAACGGGUGGAGCUUGCGGUUUAAUUGGAUUCAACGCCGGAAAUCUUACCGGGACCGACAGCAACAUGAAGGCCAAGCUGAAGACUUUGCCGGAUUAGCUG
RNAcentral lists this ribosomal RNA (266 nucleotides) under uncultured archaeon. RNAcentral's name for it is "partial 16S ribosomal RNA". It matches the Rfam family "Archaeal small subunit ribosomal RNA", at positions 717 to 982 of the family's 1478-position model. The record is from RNAcentral.